CAAAAUGUAGCUUAAUUAAAGCCCUCCGCUUACACCGGACAUAUAUCUGUUUAACCCAGAUCAUUUUGA
This 69-nucleotide transfer RNA is filed under the name Pelophylax ridibundus (marsh frog). Its description in RNAcentral is "tRNA-Val". The record is from RNAcentral. Lineage: Eukaryota; Metazoa; Chordata; Amphibia; Anura; Ranidae. RNAcentral also lists the same sequence under 2 other names.